CCUACGGGUGGCAGCAGCAAGGAAUUUUCCCCAAUGGGCGCAAGCCUGAGGGAGCAACGUCGCGUGGAGGAAGACGGCCUUCGGGUUGUAAACUCCUUUUGCGGGGGAAGAUACUGACGGUACCCCGCGAACAAGCCCCGGCUAACUCCGUGCCAGCAGCCGCGGUAAGACGGAGGGGGCAAGCGUUGUCCGGAAUCACUGGGCGUAAAGCGCGUGUAGGUGGUACAGUGCGUCGGCGCUGAAACCUCUGGGCUCAACCCAGAGACGCGUGCCGAUACGACUGCACUUGAGGCAGGCAGAGGGUAGCGGAAUUCCGGGUGUAGUGGUGAAAUGCGUAGAGAUCCGGAGGAACGCCUGUAGCGAAAGCGGCUACCUGGGCCUGACCUGACACUGAGACGCGACAGCGUGGGGAGCGAACCGGAUUAGAUACCCGAGUAGUC
Molecule: ribosomal RNA, 440 nt
Filed under: uncultured bacterium
Lineage: Bacteria
Description: bacterial SSU rRNA
Rfam family: Bacterial small subunit ribosomal RNA
Source: RNAcentral